GUUCCGCCGUUAUCGGGCUUCUCAAUAGUUGCAAACGACAACUAUGCUCCGGUUGCUCAGGCUGCGUAACGCAGUUUGAAAUACCGACUUAAAGUCCUAACGGAAUAAGCCCUGUUAGGCGGGGUUCGGAGGCACCUGGCAACAGAAGCCUCCACU
This 156-nucleotide transfer-messenger RNA is filed under the name Bradyrhizobiaceae bacterium. RNAcentral describes it as "partial transfer-messenger RNA". It matches the Rfam family "Alphaproteobacteria transfer-messenger RNA", at positions 201 to 355 of the family's 355-position model. From Rfam's summary of the family: Bacterial tmRNA, also known as 10Sa RNA or SsrA, is named for its dual tRNA and mRNA-like properties. The record is from RNAcentral. Lineage: Bacteria; Pseudomonadati; Pseudomonadota; Alphaproteobacteria; Hyphomicrobiales; Nitrobacteraceae.